This 1315-nucleotide ribosomal RNA is filed under the name Dynatosoma fuscicorne. RNAcentral's name for it is "large subunit ribosomal RNA". The stretch from base 1062 to 1221 matches the Rfam family "Archaeal large subunit ribosomal RNA", at positions 2544 to 2703 of the family's 2987-position model. Lineage: Eukaryota; Metazoa; Arthropoda; Insecta; Diptera; Mycetophilidae. The record is from RNAcentral.
GUUUGUUUAAAGUUUAAUUUAUUAAAAAUAAUUAUAAAAAUUUAAGUUUAAGUAUUUUUUAAAGAAAAAAUAAUUUUUAUUAUAAAUUAUUAGUAUUGAAAAAGAAUAUUGAAAUAAAUUGAAAAAUAAAUAAAUUUAAAAGAAAAUUUAAUUAAUUGUACCUUGUGUAUCAGGGUUUAUCAAAUAAAAAAUAAAUAAUUAUUUUUCUCGAUUUUAAGAGAUCUAAUUAAUUAUGAUUGUUAAUGUGGCAUAAUUAUAUUUAAUAAUUAAUUAGAAAUGAAACGUUAUUCGUUCUUAAAUAUAUCUAGUUUUUUAAGAAAUAAAUUUAAUUUAUAUAUUUUUAAUAUUAUUUUUUUUGUUUAAAAUUAAUAAAUUUAUUAAUAUAAAUAUUUUAAGGGAUAAGCUUUAUAAUAAAUUAUUAAACUUUGUAAUAAUAUUUAAUAAAUAUAAGCUUAGAAUUAGUUAUUAUAAAUAAAUGUGUUAUAAUUUAUUUAAAAAAUAAAUAUAAUUUAUUUAAAAAGUUAAAUUUUUUAUUAAAAUGUUAAUUUUAACAAUAAAAAUUAAGUAAUAAUGAUAAAAUUAGUAUAUAAAUAUUAUAUAAAAAUAAUAUAUAAUAAAAGAUUUUUUUAAAUAAUUCGGCAAAAAUUUUAUGCUCGCCUGUUUAUCAAAAACAUGUCUUUUUGUAUUUAAUUUAAAGUCUGGCCUGCCCACUGAAUUAAUUUUUUAAAGGCUGCGGUAUUUUGACCGUACAAAGGUAGCAUAAUCAUUAGUUUUUUAAUUGGAAACUCGUAUGAAUGGUUAAACGAGGCAUAAGCUGUUUCAAAGAAAAUUUUAUAGAAAUUAAUUUUUUAGUAAAAAAGCUAAAAUAAAAUUAAAAGACGAGAAGACCCUAUAGAGUUUUAUAUAAAUUAAUUAUAGUUUAUAAAUAAUAAUUAAAUCUUUAGUUAAAUUUAUAUUUUGUUGGGGUGACAGUAAAAUUUAAUUAUCUUUUAUUAUUUUUAAACAAUGAUUAUUGAAUAAUUGAUCCAUUUUUAGUGAUUAUAAGAUUAAAUUACCUUAGGGAUAACAGCGUAAUUUUUUUGUAGAGUUCUUAUCGAUAAAAAAUUUUGCGACCUCGAUGUUGGAUUAAGAAUAAUUUUAGGUGUAGAAGCUUAAUAAAUUAGGUCUGUUCGACCUUUAAUUUCUUACAUGAUCUGAGUUCAAACCGGUGUAAGCCAGGUUGGUUUCUAUCUUUAAUAAAAAUUUACAUUUUAGUACGAAAGGACCAAUUGUAAGAAAUAUUAAUUUUAAAAUAAUGAAUAUUAUUAAAUUAUUA